AGCGUUAAAGCAUAAUUAGGCUUUGCAGUAAUUUGCAAAAUUAUAAGGUGUAGGUUCAACUCCUAUUGACGUUU
RNAcentral lists this transfer RNA (74 nucleotides) under Halichondria okadai. Its description in RNAcentral is "tRNA-Cys". It matches the Rfam family "tRNA". From Rfam's summary of the family: Transfer RNA (tRNA) molecules are approximately 80 nucleotides in length. Their secondary structure includes four short double-helical elements and three loops (D, anti-codon, and T loops). Further hydrogen bonds mediate the characteristic L-shaped molecular structure. tRNAs have two regions of fundamental functional importance: the anti-codon, which is responsible for specific mRNA codon recognition, and the 3' end, to which the tRNAs corresponding amino acid is attached (by aminoacyl-tRNA synthetases). tRNAs cope with the degeneracy of the genetic code in two manners: having more than one tRNA (with a specific anti-codon) for a particular amino acid; and 'wobble' base-pairing, i.e. permitting non-standard base-pairing at the 3rd anti-codon position. RNAcentral also lists the same sequence under 1 other name. Lineage: Eukaryota; Metazoa; Porifera; Demospongiae; Suberitida; Halichondriidae. The record is from RNAcentral.